AUAAGGUCAAGCUACAAAGGGCUAACGGUGGAUACCUUGGCACACAGAGGCGAAGAAGGACGUGGUUACCGACGAAACGCUUCGGGGAGCUGGAAACAAGCAUUGAUCCGGAGGUGUCCGAAUGGGGCAACCCAAGUGAACUACCCGCUGAAUAAAAUAGGCGGGAGAGAGCGAACCUAGUGAACUGAAACAUCUUAGUAGCUAGAGGAAAAGAAAACAAAAGUGAUUCUCUAAGUAGCGGCGAGCGAACGGGGAACAGCCUAAACCAAUGUCUUCGGAGAUUGGGGUCGUGGGACAGCAACGUGGACUGAGUAGAUUAGACGAAGCAGCUGAAAACUGCACCAGAGGAGGUGAAAGUCCUGUAGUCGAAAAUCGAAGCAGCCUAGCUGAAUCCCGAGUAGGUCGGAGCUCGUGGAAUUCCGAUUGAAUCCGCCAGGACCACCUGGUAAGGCUAAAUACUACUGUGUGACCGAUAGCGUAAAGUACCGCGAGGGAAAGGUGAAAAGAACCCCGUUGAGGGGAGUGAAAUAGAACAUGAAACCGUUAGCCUACAAGCAAUGGGAGCUCGAUUAAACGAGUGACCGUGUGCCUGUUGAAGAAUGAGCCGGCGACUUACAGGUUGUGGCAGGUUAAGGUGUGUUGCACCGAAGCCAAAGUGAAAGCGAGCCUGAAUAGGGCGUUAGUCACAAUUUGUAGACCCGAACCCGGGUGAUCUAACCAUGGCCAGGAUGAAGCUUAGGUAACACUAAGUGGAGGUCCGAACCGACUAAUGUUGAAAAAUUAGCGGAUGAGCUGUGGUUAGGGGUGAAAUGCCAAUCGAACCCGGAGCUAGCUGGUUCUCCCCGAAAUGUGUUUAGGCGCAGCGGUUGUAAAGUCAACUUGGGGGGUAAAGCACUGUUUCGCUGCGGGCGGCGAGAGCUGUACCAAAGUGAGGCAAACUCAGAAUACCCAAGAAGAAACGACCAGUAAGACGGUGGGGGAUAAGCUUCAUCGUCGAAAGGGAAACAGCCCAGACCACCAGCUAAGGUCCCCAAAUCAUCACUAAGUGAGAAAGGAGGUGGGAGUGCAUUGACAACCAGGAGGUUUGCCUAGAAGCAGCAAUCCUUAAAAGAGUGCGUAAUAGCUCACUGGUCAAGCGCUCCUGCGCCGAAAAUGAACGGGGCUAAGUGAUGUACCGAAGCUGUGGACUCAGAUAUGAGUGGUAGGGGAGCGUUCUGUAUAGGGUGAAGCACUAGCGGCAAGCAGGUGUGGACAGUACAGAAGUGAGAAUGUCGGCUUGAGUAGCGAAAAUAUGGGUGAGAAUCCCAUACCCCGAAAUCCUAAGGGUUCCUCCGGAAGGCUCGUCCGCGGAGGGUUAGUCAGGACCUAAGGCGAGGCUGAGAAGCGUAGUCGAUGGACAACCGGUCAAUAUUCCGGUACUGAUUAUAAAUUGUGGCGGGGGACGGAGAAGGCUAGUGCAGCUGGAAGUUGGUUACCAGUCCAAGCAUUCGAGGCGAUGAGAGACGGAGAAAACGUCUUGAGCGGAGGUGUGAUGGGGAGUCUCUACGGAGACGAAGUGCAUGAUGUCAAGCUUCCUAGAAAAGCCCGAACCACGUUAAUUUAUAGUCACCUGUACCCGAAACCGACACAGGUAGGAAGGUAGAGAAUACUAAGGGGCGCGAGGUAACUCUCUCUAAGGAACUCGGCAAAAUUACCCCGUAACUUCGGGAGAAGGGGUGCCUCCAGCAAUGGAGGUCGCAGUGAAUAGGCCCAGGCGACUGUUUACCAAAAACACAGGUCUCCGCAAAGUCGUAAGACGCAGUAUGGGGGCUGACGCCUGCCCAGUGCCGGAAGGUUAAGGAAGUUGGUUAGGAGUAAUCCGAAGCUAGCGACUGAAGCCCCGGUGAACGGCGGCCGUAACUAUAACGGUCCUAAGGUAGCGAAAUUCCUUGUCGGGUAAGUUCCGACCCGCACGAAAGGCGUAACGAUCUGGGCACUGUCUCGGAGAGAGGCUCGGCGAAAUAGGAUUGUCUGUGAAGAUACGGACUCCCUGCACCUGGACAGAAAGACCCUAUGAAGCUUUACUGUAGCUUGGAAUUGGGUUCGGGCUUUGCUUGCGCAGGAUAGGUGGGAGACUAUGAAGUUGCUCUUGUGGGAGUAAUGGAGUCAACGGUGAGAUACCACUCUGGUGAGGCUAGAAUUCUAACUUGUUCCCGUUAUCCGGGAGAAGGACAAUUUCAGGUGGGCAGUUUGACUGGGGCGGUCGCCUCCUAAAAGGUAACGGAGGCGCGCAAAGGUUUCCUCAGGCUGGUUGGAAAUCAGCCGAAGAGUGUAAAAGCAGAAGGAAGCUUGACUGUGAGACUGACAAGUCAAACAGGGACGAAAGUCGGCUUUAGUGAUCCGACGGCACUGAGUGGAAGGGCCGUCGCUCAACGGAUAAAAGUUACUCUAGGGAUAACAGGCUGAUCUCCGCCAAGAGUUCACAUCGACGCGGAGGUUUGGCACCUCGAUGUCGGCUCAUCGCAACCUGGGGCGGUAGUACGUCCCAAGGGUUGGGCUGUUCGCCCAUUAAAGCGGUACGUGAGCUGGGUUCAGAACGUCGUGAGACAGUUCGGUCCAUAUCCGGUGUAGGCGUAAGAGUAUUGAGAGGAGACUUCCUUAGUACGAGAGGACCGGGAAGUACGCACCUCUGGUGUACCUGUUAUCGUGCCAACGGUAAACGCAGGGUAGCCAAGUGCGGAGUGGAUAACCGCUGAAAGCAUCUAAGUGGGAAGCCCACCUCAAGAUGAGUACUCUCAUGGUGUUAAGCCAGUAAGGUCACGGGAAGACUACCCGUUGAUAGGCUCUAGAUGGAAGUUCAGUAAUGGAUGAAGUCGAGGAGUACUAAUAGACCGAGGGCUUGACCUU
Molecule: ribosomal RNA, 2886 nt
Filed under: Synechocystis sp. PCC 7338
Lineage: Bacteria; Bacillati; Cyanobacteriota; Cyanophyceae; Synechococcales; Merismopediaceae
Description: 23S ribosomal RNA
Rfam family: Bacterial large subunit ribosomal RNA
Source: RNAcentral